AUAGGAGACAAGUCUUGCAUCUGAGCUUUUGCCAAUAAAUUCUUAGUAUAUUUUGUCUGCGAUAAGAAAAUGCCACCAUUAAAAUACUUCACUUCAAUGCCUAAAAAAUAAUUAAGGCGACCUAGAUCUUUAAGAGAAAAUGUUGAGCUAAGCAUAUGAAUGAUUUGUUGAAUGGUAGAAGAAUUUGAUCCUGUAAUAAUCACAUCAUCAACAUAUACAAGAAUGAUAAUAAGUUCAUGAUUAGUUUUUAAGAUAAAUAGUGAAGAGUCGACCUUACUGCACUGAAAUCCAAGAGUAAAAAGAGAUUGAGAUAGACAAUCAAACCAAGAGCGAGGUGUUUGUUUAAGCCCGUAGAUAGAGUGAUGAAGUUUGCAGACAUGAUACGGCAGAUUCUGAUCGAUGAAACCACGAGGUUGUUCCAUGUAUAUAGUUUCUUUGAGGUGACCAUGAAGAAAAGCAUUUUUUACGUCCAAUUGCUUCAUCUCCCAAUUUGAGCUAACGACAGUAGAAAGAACAAGGCGAAUAGUUGUAGGUUUAAUCACUGGACUAAAUGUUCAUCAAAAUCUAAACCUGGAAUUUGAGUAAAUCCUUUUGCGACUAAGCGGGCUUUGUAACAGUCAACACUCCCAUCUUUUUUAUAUUUUAUGCGAUAAAUCCAUUUUGAUGCAACGACAUUUGUGUUAUUGGGACGAGGAACAAACGUCCAAGUUUGGUUGUAAUGAAGAGCUUGAAGCUCUUCUUUCAUGGCACUGACCCAAAAUUGAUUUUUGAGAGCUGUCUUAAUGGUUUUUGGUUUAGUCUGAGGAGAAUCGGUGGUGACUAACGCUAAUUUAGAAUUCAAUGCAGGAUUUUCUCGAAGUUUUUGAUGAUUUAUCAUCAGAUGAUUAAUUUGAGAGUGAGAAAUAUUGGAUUGUGCAGUAGGAAUAGAUGUGGAGGUUGGCAAUGAGGAUGGAUAAUGAGAAGAAAAAGGAAUAUCAAUAGACACUUGAUUAGAGAUAUUUGGAUGAUUUUUAGUACUAGGAGAACAACUUGUAUUUGUUUGUCUUAAAGAUUCUGGAGUGCUAUCAGAAUUCAGAGAAAAAGAACAACAGUCAGUGCUCAAAGUAUUGGAGUUUGGAAGGCCUGUAGGUUUAGAAUUAUUGUCUUUUUGAGAAGAGUAAGUUUGAUUGAAACCACUCAUAAAAAUUGGGAAAUGUCACCAUUUGGCUUGGUUCCUGCAUGCAUGACGAAGAAGAAAUAUUGUUAGCAAAAGGAAACACUGUUUCAUCAAAAAUAACAUGACAAGAAAUAUAAACUCGAUUUGUUUUAGGAUCCAAACAACGAUAGCCUUUGUGUAUAGGACUUAGCCAAUAAAAAUACAAGAAUAUGUUUUUCGAUCAAAUUUACUUUUAGUGUAAUCCCGUAGGUAGGGAAAACAUUAACAACCAAAGAUCCUUAAUCCACGAUAAUCAGGAGAACGCUUGAACAUCUUUUGAUAUGGGCUUAUCAUGUCAAGAGUUGAGAGAGGCAUCCUGUUGAUCAAAUAGACAGCAGUUAGAAAAGCGUCAACCCAAAACUUUAAAGAAACUGAAGAAUGAAACAUCAUAAUGAGGGUACUUUCGACAACAUGUCCAUGUUUUCUUUCGACCACUCCAUUUUGUUCAGGAGUAUAAGGGCAUGAAAUUUGUCUGGAGAUGCCACAUUGUUCUAUAUGUGUUAAAAGUUUGUAUUAA
RNAcentral lists this long non-coding RNA (1712 nucleotides) under Olea europaea subsp. europaea. Lineage: Eukaryota; Viridiplantae; Streptophyta; Magnoliopsida; Lamiales; Oleaceae. The record is from RNAcentral.